GCGUGGCAAGCUGCGGAGCAGGAUGUCCCUGAGGUGCCUGGCCGGCCUGCGCCCAGCCGUCUGCUCCCCCAGGCCGGCUGCCAAGGCGCUGAGAGCUCGGCUAUGAACACCCACGCCUUACAGCUCAGCCCGUUGAGUAACCCCGUGACUCUUUUUUGAGUCCCGCGUUGGUGGGUGCCACGGGCGGCUGCGCACUUCGCCUCCAUUCGCGUGGCUUAGGCGGCAGAGCUGGGCUUAGAUCCUGCGGCGUGGGGGACGGACGUGCUCCAGAGUCUCCAGAGCCCACGCCCCGAGGCCGCGAGAGACGGGAAAUGCGUGCGCCCGGUAUGCUGACGGCUCUGCGCGGUGCUCCCUGAUUCUGAGGAACUGUCGUCCAAGCUCUCCUUCACGCUCACAUUGACAGCAUCUCCGUUCCC
Mustela erminea (ermine) is the source of this 416-nucleotide long non-coding RNA. RefSeq lists it as uncharacterized. NCBI's taxonomy places the organism in Eukaryota, Metazoa, Chordata, Mammalia, Carnivora, Mustelidae. The transcript is spliced from 3 exons. The record is from RefSeq and is a predicted model, not a curated record.